AUGUCGACGUCGUCGGGGGCCAAGGAGGCGCCGGCCAACAACCCGGGCCUGCAGGCCGAGGUCGACCCCGCCACCAAGGGCUACUUCAUGCAGCAGACACUGCAGUGUCAACUUAGCAUCCCACUCUGUUUGGCCCAGUAUUGCCGCUGUGCAUAUGUUUUAUUACUGCACCACGUAUGUAUCAGCAAUCUUCGCAAUCGUGCAGACAAAAGCAAGCGGUUGCCUCCAAUUUACAAGGUUUCAAAAACUGUAUAUGCAUCCCCUAGCCGUGUAAAUUUCCGCCUUGAUCAAAGAAAGGCUGUAGAGACAGUACCUGCAUAUCCGAACAUUUAUUUCUCAGUUGAUGACUUCGAUGAUCCUUUUGAUGCUGUGGUUUUGUCAGACCCAGAACACUGCUAUUGUGUGAUUCUCAAUGCGCAUGAUGGGGCAGCAUUUCCUGAAGAAAGCGAAUCAAGCAAUGUCGGUUCAAAUAUACAAUCUGGGAUCAACUCUGGGAGCAGUGGAGAGAACCCACCAAAGGUUCACUCUCUUCCUAAAUGA
This 540-nucleotide ribosomal RNA is filed under the name Triticum aestivum (bread wheat). RNAcentral describes it as "partial small subunit ribosomal RNA". Lineage: Eukaryota; Viridiplantae; Streptophyta; Magnoliopsida; Poales; Poaceae. The record is from RNAcentral.